GCUCCUGUAGUCUAGUGGCCAAAGAUACUGCCCUCUCGCGGCGGUGACCCGGGUUCGACUCCCGGCAGGAGCA
RNAcentral lists this transfer RNA (73 nucleotides) under Candidatus Pacearchaeota archaeon. Its description in RNAcentral is "tRNA-Glu". It matches the Rfam family "tRNA". From Rfam's summary of the family: Transfer RNA (tRNA) molecules are approximately 80 nucleotides in length. Their secondary structure includes four short double-helical elements and three loops (D, anti-codon, and T loops). Lineage: Archaea; Nanobdellati. The record is from RNAcentral.